GUGGGGAAUCUUGCGCAAUGGGCGAAAGCCUGACGCAGCCAUGCCGCGUGAAUGAUGAAGGUCUUAGGAUUGUAAAAUUCUUUCACCGGGGACGAUAAUGACGGUACCCGGAGAAGAAGCUCCGGCUAACUUCGUGCCAGCAGCCGCGAUAAUACGAAGGGGGCUAGCGUUGCUCGGAAUUACUGGGCGUAAAGGGCGCGUAGGCGGACAGCUUAGUCAGAGGUGAAAGCCCAGGGCUCAACCUUGGAAUUGCCUUUGAUACUGGCUGUCUUGAGUUUGGGAGAGGUGAGUGGAACUCCGAGUGUAGAGGUGAAAUUCGUAGAUAUUCGGAAGAACACCAGUGGCGAAGGCGACUCACUGGCCCAAUACUGACGCUGAGGCGCGAAAGCGUGGGGAGCAAACAGGAUUAGAAACCCUUGUAGUCC
Molecule: ribosomal RNA, 425 nt
Filed under: uncultured bacterium
Lineage: Bacteria
Description: partial 16S ribosomal RNA
Rfam family: Bacterial small subunit ribosomal RNA
Source: RNAcentral